GUGAUGGCUAAGCCCCUCCCUGGUCAGGGUCAGAUGACCUGGAGGUUGGCGCGCUGACCGAACAAUGCCUAAGUUUGUGACGCAACCCCACCCAGAAGACUAUAAAUAGGGCGGCGCAGUGGGCCAGGGCCAGACCGCUGGACAGAGCCACGAUGGAAGAGGCAAGCUCCCAACAACAAGCUGCAAGCACCAACGAGGACAGGGAGAGGGAGGCCCCCUCAGCCCACGUCCAGGUGCCUCGACAAGGUGAGUGGACCCCCCCCAAGCUCCUCCUCCUCUUCCCCCGGCCCCUGGCUCCCAAGACUCCUACCUUGUCCUCGCCGGACACAAACCUCCACUCAGCCCACACCCUUUCCAUGAAGCCCCUACUCCCACGCCGCCUCCACCCUAUUUCCCACCCCAAAGCCCCUCUCUGAUCUCCCUGCUGUCUUUCCAGGGCCCAAAGGCAGGCAGCAGCGUAAAGGACCUGUGCGAGGGCGAAAAAUAGUCCGUCCCAAACUGCGCCGUCCUACCGUGAAACCGAAGAAAGGGAGGGGGUCAAAGCCCGUCCAAAUUUAUUACUAUCUGAACACGAAAAUCAGUCCAAAUGUGCCAGCCAAGGGCAAGAAGGACCGGGAGGCCCCCAGCACCUCGUGCGGGACCCCGGCUGCCUUGAACUCGGCCGUGGAGCCCGAGACUUCUGAAUCACCUAAGAACUCACCCGAGGCUCAGCCGCUGAGCAAUGCUCAGUAAGCAGAUGUUGGGUUAACCCUAACAUCCUGCAUGGGGAUGAUUGAAAUAAAUCAGUCUCGUCUGAGAUGUGCGUGUGCGUGUGUUUGUGCGCGCAUUGGGACUGGCAGAGGGAGGGAGGACGGGACAGGGGCGUGUUCGGAGGGAGGCAUUGGGACUGGCGGAGGGAAGGAGGACGGGACAGGGAUGUGUUUCAGGCAUUGGGACUGGCAGAGGGAGGGAGGACGGGACAGGGGCGUGUUCGAGUCAUUGGGACUGGCAGAGGGAGGGAGGACGGGACAGGGGCGUGUUCAGAGGGAGGCAUUGGGACUGGCAGAGGGAAGGAGGACGACCCCAAGGGUGUGUUCGGAGGGAGCACUGGGACU
Molecule: long non-coding RNA, 1094 nt
Filed under: Oryctolagus cuniculus (rabbit)
Lineage: Eukaryota; Metazoa; Chordata; Mammalia; Lagomorpha; Leporidae
Description: lncRNA (ENSOCUG00000031525.1)
Source: RNAcentral